CAGUCGCCGCGGGAAUACGGAGGGGGCUAGCGUUGUUCGGAAUUACUGGGCGUAAAGCGCACGUAGGCGGCUUUGUAAGUUAGAGGUGAAAGCCCGGAGCUCAACUCCGGAAUUGCCUUUAAGACUGCAGAGCUAGCAGGUGAGAGAGGUGAGUGGAAUUCCGAGUGUAGAGGUGAAAUUCGUAGAUAUUCGGAAGAACACCAGUGGCGAAGGCGGCUCACUGGCUCAUACUGGACGCUGAGGUGCGAAAGCGUGGGGAGCAAACAGGAUUAGAUACCCCCGUAGUCCCUGUCUCUUAUAC
RNAcentral lists this ribosomal RNA (301 nucleotides) under uncultured bacterium. RNAcentral's name for it is "partial 16S ribosomal RNA". It matches the Rfam family "Bacterial small subunit ribosomal RNA", at positions 509 to 807 of the family's 1533-position model. The record is from RNAcentral.